RNAcentral lists this unclassified non-coding RNA (228 nucleotides) under Hevea brasiliensis (rubber tree). The record is from RNAcentral. Lineage: Eukaryota; Viridiplantae; Streptophyta; Magnoliopsida; Malpighiales; Euphorbiaceae.
UGGCAAUAAACAUAUAACCUGAUAUGCAUUCUUCAUUUCUUUUUUUGGGUCAAAUGCAUUUGAACAACUAGGGCUGUUGACAGUAAAAUUUUGGCUAUGAAGGACUGAUAUAGAUUGUUUGAGGAAGUAUGAGGACUUGAUUGAUGAAAAAUAAAGUUUGAGGACUCAAUUAGAAUUGUAAGUAAAGUUUGAGUGCUUUAUGUGUAAUUGUUCCUUAUUUCAUUAAAG